GCAAACCCUGACCUCCUCGUCACUGCAUCCGUUCUCUAAGUAAGUGUGGAGGCUGCCACUCUGACCUCAGAAAGGUGGCCUGGGGAGUGUGUGCGCGCGCUGAGGGGCGGGAGACGAGGGGACAGCGGGGGUUUGCUCGCUGACUGCGGGAGCCAGCGCUCCGAGUGCAGGACGGCGGCAGCCUUGAGGAGCGGGCAGCUUAUCCUGCGCUCUCGGUUCCUCCUGAGGCAGAUUAAGGCACAAGAGAGGGAGGAGGAGGAGGAGGAGGGAGAAAAAAAAGGCGCGCUCGGUGUUAAGAGAGGAGAAGAGAGGAGCGGCGACACCGGGACGGAGGAGCGGAGGCUGCCGCCGUUCUAAAUCCGGUUUCCCCGUCGGUGCCUCCCGCUCGGAGCUGCCCACGACCGCUGGUGCUGAACCGGGCGCAACUCUUCAGAGGCACCCGCAACCUUUCGCCCUUCUCCUCCAGAGAACGAGGGAAGCCGCCCAGAGCCGAAGAGCACCGGAGAGCCCGGCUCCCCGAAGGAAGAGGCGCGUUUCUCUUGUGAGGGACUCAGAGGACGGGAGUCUCACGUAUCUGCUUCCAGGGGACCGGCAAAGAUUGCGAGCGCGGGAAGUAUCCUGGUCCUCGGGAUGUAUCCGGCGGGACUCGCGGCCACAGGGCGCCUCUGAAGGGGCAACCCUCGGAUUCCGCCUGGCGCCUUCUCUCUUGGCGGGGAGCGGGGUUUCUCCUCCGGCCAUCGAUCCUUCCCAGAGGCCAUGGUUACGCUAUCCCGCGCUCUCCGCGCACCGAAGAGGAGCAGGUAUCGUUGGGUGGCUGACAUGUGAAGCAAAAUGGCUAAAGUUGACACCUAUCACUCUUGCCCAGCUGCCCAUGGAUUGUCUUUGAAAACUGUUGAUGAUGACCCUAACAAUUUGGAAAAUGGAUUUAUCAGGUAAUGCAGCAAAAUGAAACUCAAGCAUUAUGGGAGUAUACUUGAUAGUCUGAUCAAAGUUAAGCAUAUCUAAAACCUUACAUGUAAAAUGCCAUUUUACAUACAUUUUACAUACAGUAAGUUUGUAAUAGGUAUGUUUGGUUACCUUGUUUCCAGCUUCACCUGCUGUAACAUGGACAUACUAGUGGGUCUGUCCCUCACUGGGUUACUGUGAGAACAUAACAAUGUGAAGAAUAUAAAGCACUUUCAACAUUGAGAGUGCCAUUUUUUAAAAAAAAAUUAAUAAAUAUUUUAUUGUAUUUUUUCUACUUUUCUAU
This 1249-nucleotide long non-coding RNA is filed under the name Pogona vitticeps (central bearded dragon). RNAcentral's name for it is "lncRNA (ENSPVIG00000005750.1)". The record is from RNAcentral. Lineage: Eukaryota; Metazoa; Chordata; Lepidosauria; Squamata; Agamidae.